Molecule: long non-coding RNA, 4053 nt
Filed under: Cricetulus griseus (Chinese hamster)
Lineage: Eukaryota; Metazoa; Chordata; Mammalia; Rodentia; Cricetidae
Description: lncRNA (ENSCGRG00015031615.1)
Rfam family: mir-29 microRNA precursor family (bases 1558-1623)
Source: RNAcentral
CCUUUAACAUAGUGGGGGGUGGGGUGGGGUGGACUAAGGAUACUAGCAAUAGGAACUUGCUAAGAAAAUUUAGCUGAAAUGAAAAUCAGAAAAGAUGAGUAUUAUCAUAUGCAUAUUAUUAUAUCUCUCCCCUUCAUUUACAAGGUUUUGACCCUUGUUAAUAACUGCCAUCUAUUUACGACCUAUUUAGUUCACAAGACCCUAACUUUGGCAACCAGUGUCACUGGCACUCGGGAACUCAGUGUAUAGAUUUGCUUGCACUUUUCUGUAGUUGAGACCCUGGAGAGCCUUCGGUUUCUCCUCUGGCUAGCCCAGUUUCUUAGAAGCUAAGCCUAUCAGUGUCAUUGGUAGGCUUCAUUGCAAUCAUCUUCCCUAUUGUGGGGAGGCAUCUUCCCUAUUGCACCAGUGGGGCAAUAAAGCAAAAGCAGGUUCUCCUAGACUAUCUGACCCCUUGCAGUACCAACACCAUGUGCCCUCUUUACAUGUGUUACAGUGAGUCUCUUCCACUCCAAUCCAGAUCCCCUGAGCUAAAUAUCCCUCCCCAGUCUAGGUAAGAGUUCAGUUCAAAAGAAAGGAGAUCACAGUCAGGCUGUUCAAGACCAAGCAGCGGCAGUGGACAGAGGGACAGGAAUAGACAUUUUAGAUCACCUGGUUCUGUGACUACAGUUUCUUAUACAGACAUCAGAACAAUACCUGCUUCAUUGAACUCUUGGAACAACUAAGUAUUACAACACUGGAUGUUCACAUUAUAUGUGUUCUAUUACCCUGUAGCAGCCAGGAGCCAUAAAGAGAGAGAAGCUUAUAUCUCGAGGUCAACAUACAGCUUUAUUCUUUUGUCUCCCUUCUCUGAGUUGUGACAGCAGAGGAAACACUGCAAACAUAAUUUGUGAAUCUUAUUUUCCGAUAAAUUUAAAAAGUAUACCCCAUUUUUGUGUUAGAGGAUUAUCUAUAGAAUACAAUAAGAUACCAGCUUUUAAAGUUACUCUGGAUGGGAAGGGAGAACAUGUGCUCUUUUUGAAUAAUACUUGUGGAAGAGUUGUCCUGACACAGGUGACACACUUGUAUUCAGAGGCUAACAUCUCAUAGGUCACUGUCCUGAAAGAGUGACAUAAUGUAUUCACUAUGCAUGACAGGCAUUAUGCAUCUUGGGAGACACUACAUAAGUUCAAGACAUUGCAAAUAUACAUAUGUAGAAUAAACUCUGUUCUUUUGUCUUAUGUAUAAUAAUUAAUUUAUAAUGACUAAUGUGAAGUCAUACAGGGAACAAGCUUUGCAGUGGUCAUGUCUGCUCAACAUGUUGCCGGUGGCUCUGAUGCUGCUCUGAGCAGCCUUGCAUGGCUGUCGUCUGCCUCUGACAGGCAAGAUGAUUCUCAGAGCAGAUAAGGGGAGAGUGCUCUGCACAUGGAGGACUGCUUCAUCCGCAUCAGUACUGCCUGCCUAUACCUGGAAGAUGUCUGGAGUGCUCAGUCGUGGUUGCGGCACAGCUGAAGUCAGACUUGCCAUUUGUCUGCCUUGAGGUUCAGACCUGAAGACCACCACUGGCCCAUCUCUUACACAGGCUGACCGAUUUCUCCUGGUGUUCAGAGUCUGUUUUUGUCUAGCACCAUUUGAAAUCGGUUAUGAUGUAGGGGGACGAGCACCAGCCUCAGAGCCUCGUGGUGUGUGGUCGGCAGCAGCCUGUCAUUGCCUACACAGGCAGAGCAGAGAAGGAAGAUCACAGUUUCCUGACUUCUUUAAUACAUGUGUGUGGUAGCAGAACUUAGAGAUAAUGGGUUUUAUAAUUAAAUUGUUGUAAUUUUAUCUGAUAUCCUCAGUUGCAGUUUCUUACAUGUACUACUGUUAACGAAUUGUAUAAACCAUUUUGCUGCUGAACUGUGUUUCUGUUCAUGCAUCCCGGCUUUAAUAAACAAUUUGCUAUAUUCAAUUUAUCAUGUCUGUGUUUUUAUCUAUUUUCCAUUCAUAAUUCUAUGGCAAUGAGAAGUGGGCCCUGGGAAGUUAAUUUGCUGUGCCAAUCAUAAGGAAUUGGAAGUAGGUUGCUUCAGACAAACAUUAAAAAUGAAGGUCAUUAAGACAGGAAUGAAAUUCUAAAAAUGAAAGAUUAUCAGAAACAGAAGAUUGAAGCUCUAGGCUGAGGGAUGUUACUAAAUAGGAAAACUAUUCUUGGUUCCAAGGAAACUGUGGACUCUGACUCUCCUCCUGUCAGUGUUGCUGCAGGGAACUUAACUGAAGUGUCAUGUGGCCCUUAAAGGGAAGUGGGCUAAUUUCAAUUGCAUUUGUAACAGAUGGAGUUCUACUUUCAGCUGAUGGUUUAUUUCAACCCUUGAAUAGGCGGUGAGACAAUUUUAUAAAAGUGUUCAGAGAUUUGACAGUAUUGAGGGGCAGGGUUCAUGCUUGGAGAACUUCAGGAAGAAAGCAGGUGGCCCCUUCCAUAGAAGUUGCAUAGCUAACUGAACUGUCUGCAGUAUAAUCAUUUCAAGCCAGUGGGUUUCAAUAACUGGUGGCGAAUCAGCUGCCCUGGAAGCCUUUUCUGAGCCCACAUCCCAGUAGUCUCCCCCAGAUGGCUGCCUUGCCUAUUGUGCUCAAAGUGGGAGGUGAAUGAAGCAUUCGCUGGAAAGACUUCCCAGUGACUAUGAUACAUCCUGCAGCUGCAGAGCUAUUUCAAGCUUUUGAUGGAAUGUUCUGAGUCUCGGGAUGCGGUGGUGGGAAUGGCUAAGUCCCUCAGCUGUAUUGUUUAAUUUGCCCCACUAACGUAGGAGACUGCAGCUCCUAAGUAUGACAGUUUGGGUUAUUAACUACACAUUGGUUUUUUUUUUUUUUUUUUUUUUUUAAUUUAGCUACCCUGUCCAAAGCUCCCAAUUAAUUUAUAUUGGAAAAUAUAAUUAAAAUACCCCCAGGCUAUGAUUCUAAUUCUUAAAUGAGUUAAGGGAGAAGGUAGAAUUUAUUAUCAAAGUACAAAACAAUGAUUUAAGAUUUUUUUCUAUAUAAGAAAAUUUAUAACAUCCUCACUGAAUGCUUAAACAGCCCAUAUCCUGAAGUUCGGAGGAGUAAAAUGCAACUGGAACAUCUCUCAAACACUUAUUUUUUUUUAUCUGAAUGCCAUUAACAUAAAAAUUGUCACUCUGGGGUAGUUUUUCAUAAUUGUUAAUGCAGAAUAUUUUUUGGCAAUACCCUCCUGAGUCAGACUUAUGAAUCCAUGCUGUCAACCCAGGUAGAAAGUCUCUUGUUGAAGUAUUACUAAGUUAAGCCUUACCAGAUUUUUUAGAAGUGAAUAUAGUGUACUUUUGUUAACUCCCGAGGAAGAAAAAUCUGCGGUUUAGUAGAUCAAAUAAAUUAAGUCUGAAUCCUAGUGUCUUUAAGAAGUUGGCCCAGACCUUCUGUUUGGAAGCUGGCAUAUAGUCUCAUGAAUAGCUAGCACACUGUUGUGUACAUACUUUUUAGGGAAGCCUAAGAUAGUACCUUUAAUAUGUUAUUUCUGGGGCACAUUCUAACCCAGUAGCAUGUUGCCAUAGCUUUGGUCACUGAAAGAGUGAUCUUCCGGUCCCAGCCCUUUAAGGAAGUACUAUUUAUCUGUGCUCAGAUUGGGGCUCAGAUGAGUAUAGUGUACAGCCAUUGUCCUAUUUCUGAAAAGGCCAUACUAUUUGGUCAUAGUUCUUUGCUUCCAGUUUUUAUGUCCAUGCAUAAAUUUCCUGUGACUGCAACAAAUUAGCACAGAUGUGAUGAUGUCUCAACUGAAGUCAAGGUACUGUCAGACACAAAUCCUUCAGAAAUAUGAAAGAAAAAUAGGUCUCUUGCCUUUCUUUGUCUACAAACAGGCUAUUCUUUGGCUUGUCCUCUUCAAGCUUCCAGGGUCUGCAGGAUCACACUUUGCUUCAUUGGUUACACUGUCUUCGAUGGUUAGUGUUCACCUUUUAACAAGAUCAGGAUGUGAUUAACCUUCGCAUCAGAAUUUGAGAAGCCUAUUGCUGUGGGAGCUUACAGAAGGAAUUCUUAAUGGUUGAAGCUCACCUCAAGUACAGAUUUAAUAUUUUUUGAGAUGUUGCAGGUGGAGGUAGG